Molecule: ribosomal RNA, 118 nt
Filed under: Ipomoea nil (Japanese morning glory)
Lineage: Eukaryota; Viridiplantae; Streptophyta; Magnoliopsida; Solanales; Convolvulaceae
Source: RNAcentral
GGAUGCGAUCAUACCAGCACUAAUGCACCGGAUCCCAUCAGAACUCCGAAGUUAAGCGUGCUUGGCGAGAGUAGUACUAGGAUGGGUGACCCCAUGGGAAGUCCUCGUGUUGCAUCCC